GACGGAGGAUGCAAGUGUUAUCCGGAAUCACUGGGCGUAAAGCGUCUGUAGGUGGUUUAAAAAGUCCACUGUUAAAGAUUGAAGCUUAACUUCAAAAAUGCCGUGGAAACUUUUAAACUUGAGUAUGAUAGGGGUAGAGGGAAUUUCCAGUGGAGCGGUGAAAUGCGUAGAUAUUGGAAAGACCACCAAUGGCGAAGGCACUCUACUGGGCCAUUACUGACACUGAGAGACGAAAGCUAGGGGAGCAGAUGGG
This 253-nucleotide ribosomal RNA is filed under the name uncultured bacterium. Its description in RNAcentral is "partial 16S ribosomal RNA". It matches the Rfam family "Bacterial small subunit ribosomal RNA", at positions 524 to 776 of the family's 1533-position model. The record is from RNAcentral.